GGGCUUUACACAUGCUGGGCAAGUUUUCUACCAUUGAGCUAUAUCCCCUGCCCCAGCUCCAAUAAGAACCGUUGAUAUAUUGUACCUUAAAAAAUAUGUAGAUCUGUAACAGUGAAAGGCUUUAAUAACAAGCCUAGCAACAACAACACCUAUAUUAUGAUAUGUAAACACUACCACCCCCAAGAAAAUGAAGGACGACUCUUUUUUAAAUGGCUGACUAUGGGGUCUGGAGCAGAAAAGAGGUUUACUUGAAUAAAAGCACUGCAAUACAUCAAAAGUUGAUCUGAGACAGAUACUAAGCAGCUAAACAAGCAGGUAGUAUAUACAGCAUGAAUACACUGGACAACGGAUACACUGGGCAAGACAGAGGAGCACAGCACUUUACUACCCACAUCGGUGUUCAAUGUAAAGCAUGAGUCAUUUAUUUCUACAUUUUUCCAUGUAAUAAUUGUGGAUUUCACUUGACUAUGGGGAACUGAAACCAUGGAAAGAGCAUCUGCAGAUAAGGAAGGACUACUGUACUCACUUAAAAAUUAAGAAACCUACAGAUUUGCAAAGUUGUGUAAACCCAAAUAGAAUAAAACCAAAGAAAUAUACUCUAAAAUGUAUCAUAUGUGAACUUUUAAAAAUCACAAACAAAAAAUCUGGAAAGCAGCUAGAGAGAAAUGAUACCUUACUUAUAAGGGGGAAAAUUCACAUGACAGCAGAGUUUACAUCAGAAACCAUGGAGGCUAUAAGAAAGGGGCACACAGGAUUUUUCAAGAACUGAACAAAAGAACUAUGAACCCAGAAUCCCAUAUCCAACAAAAACAUCCUUCAGGAAUGAAGAGGAGAAAUCAAGGCAUUCUCAGAUGAAGGAAAACUAGGUAUUUGCUGCCAGUAGACUUACCCUGGAAGAGCAAUUAAAGGAAAUUCUCUAAUCUGAAAGGAAAUGAUAAAAGAAAGAAUCUUGGAACAUCAGGAAGGAAGAAAGAACAUGCUGAGAAAAUAUGAAUAAAUACAAUAGACUUUCCUUACUUCACCACUUGAAUUCUCAAAAUUAUGUCUGCAGUCAUAAAAUAUAUCUUCAUUGUAGAGGUAGGUAUGUGAAUAUAAAAUGUGAUUAAAAGUGGCAUAAAACUAUACACAGACACAUUGUACCAAUGCCAAUUUCUGGACUGUGAUAAAGUACUUUGGUUACCUAAGAUGUAACCAUUGGGGGUGAACGGUACAUGGAACCUCUCUGUACUACCUUUGCAAGUUCCUGGAAAUCUGCAUUUUUAAAUGUUCUUUUAAGUGUCUAAUCAAACUAGGCUAUUUUCUAAUGUGAGGCAAAUUCAAACAAAUCCUAUAAAUAAAAGUUACAGGCAGCCA
This is a non-coding RNA of Ictidomys tridecemlineatus (thirteen-lined ground squirrel), 1353 nucleotides long. The record is from RefSeq and is a predicted model, not a curated record. Lineage: Eukaryota; Metazoa; Chordata; Mammalia; Rodentia; Sciuridae.